Molecule: non-coding RNA, 46 nt
Organism: Ailuropoda melanoleuca (giant panda)
Lineage: Eukaryota; Metazoa; Chordata; Mammalia; Carnivora; Ursidae
Source: Rfam
AAAUGGGCCUUAUUAAAGGCCACCUUACUUGUACAGAAAACGCAAU